UACGAAGGGUGCAAGCGUUAAUCGGAAUUACUGGGCGUAAAGCGUGCGUAGGCGGUUUCUUAAGUCUGCUGUGAAAGCCCCGGGCUCAACCUGGGAAUGGCGGUGGAUACUGAGAAGCUGGAGUACGGUAGAGGAAGGUGGAAUUCCUGGUGUAGCGGUGAAAUGCGUAGAGAUCGGGAGGAACACCGGUGGCGAAGGCGGGUCUCUGGACAGUUCCUGACACUGAGGCACGAAGGCCAGGGGAGCAAACGGG
RNAcentral lists this ribosomal RNA (253 nucleotides) under uncultured bacterium. RNAcentral describes it as "partial 16S ribosomal RNA". It matches the Rfam family "Bacterial small subunit ribosomal RNA", at positions 524 to 776 of the family's 1533-position model. The record is from RNAcentral.